ACAAAUCUACGGCCACGGACGAAAAGGAUGGAUCGAUACGAUGGCAAUCGGGUACCUUCGAACAACGCAAAGGCCGAAAAGAAGCUCGACAAGCGAUAAUUCAACACAUGAGUAAAAGAGGUAGCAAAAAAUUUUCUUUUCAUAUUAUUCAUCAAAUAUACAUUAUAGAGCCAUUAAGGUUGAGGGAGAAGGAUAACUGAAAGGCGAGCCGAUGUGACAACUAUCGGUAACCUACGGACGACG
This 243-nucleotide long non-coding RNA is filed under the name Elaeis guineensis (African oil palm). RNAcentral describes it as "long non-coding RNA (EGUI_LNC051019)". The record is from RNAcentral. Lineage: Eukaryota; Viridiplantae; Streptophyta; Magnoliopsida; Arecales; Arecaceae.